RNAcentral lists this ribosomal RNA (620 nucleotides) under Diddensiella santjacobensis. Its description in RNAcentral is "partial large subunit ribosomal RNA". It matches the Rfam family "Eukaryotic large subunit ribosomal RNA", at positions 56 to 694 of the family's 3401-position model. The record is from RNAcentral. Lineage: Eukaryota; Fungi; Ascomycota; Dipodascomycetes; Dipodascales; Trichomonascaceae.
GACUAACAGGGAUUGCCUUAGUAACUGCGAGUGAAGCGGCAAAAGCUCAAAUUUGAAAUCUGGCGUCCUUGGGCGUCCGAGUUGUAAUUUGAAGAAGGUAACUUUGAGAUUGGCCCUUGCAUAUGUUCCUUGGAACAGGACGUCAUAGAGGGUGAGAAUCCCGUAUAUGGUGGGGAGUCCAAUUUCUUGUAAAGUGCUUUCGAAGAGUCGAGUUGUUUGGGAAUGCAGCUCUAAGUGGGUGGUAAAUUCCAUCUAAAGCUAAAUAUUGGCGAGAGACCGAUAGCGAACAAGUACAGUGAUGGAAAGAUGAAAAGAACUUUGAAAAGAGAGUGAAAAAGUACGUGAAAUUGUUGAAAGGGAAGGGCUUGAAAUCAGACUUGGUAUUCAGUGAUCAACUGCCUUUCGGGGUUGUGCACUCGCUGUUUACUGGGCCAGCAUCGGUUUGAACGGUGAGAUAAUAGCAUUGGAAUGUGGCUCAGCUUCGGUUGAGUGUUAUAGCCUUUGUUGAUAUCACCAGUUUGGACCGAGGACCGCGCAUUUAUGCUAGGAUGCUGGCGUAAUGAUUUUAAGCCACCCGUCUUGAAACACGGACCAAGGAGUCUAACGUCUAUGCGAGUGUU